AGUAAUGCCUAAGAAUCUGCCUGGUGUGGGGGAUAACGCUCGGAAACGGACGCUAAUACCGCAUACGUCCUACGGGAGAAAGCAGGGGACCUUCGGGCCUUGCGCUAUCAAAUGAGCCUAGGUCGGAUUAGCUAGUUGGUGAGGUAAUGGCUCACCAAGGCGACGAUCCGUAACUGGUCUGAGAGGAUGAUCAGUCACACUGGAACUGAGACACGGUCCAGACUCCUACGGGAGGCAGCAGUGGGGAAUAUUGGACGAUGGGCGAAAGCCUGAUCCAGCCAUGCCGCGUGUGUGAAGAACGUCUUCGGAUUGUAAAGCACUUUACGUUGGGAGGAAGGGCAGUUACCUAAUACGUAAUUGUUUUGACGUUACCGACAGAAUAAGCACCGGCUAACUCUGUGCCAGCAGCCGCGGUAAUACAGAGGGUGCAAGCGUUAAUCGGAAUUACUGGGCGUAAAGCGCGCGUAGGUGGUUCGUUAAGUUGGAUGUGAAAUCCCCGGGCUCAACCUGGGAACUGCAUUCAAAACU
Molecule: ribosomal RNA, 528 nt
Filed under: Pseudomonas silesiensis
Lineage: Bacteria; Pseudomonadati; Pseudomonadota; Gammaproteobacteria; Pseudomonadales; Pseudomonadaceae
Description: bacterial SSU rRNA
Rfam family: Bacterial small subunit ribosomal RNA
Source: RNAcentral